AUGUUCGAGUCGAACGACUCAAAAAAUUGGGGGAGUAUAAAUACGAUGCCUCAUCCCGCGGGAGACCUAAUCCUUUCUUUCCCCUCCUCACCUGGACGCGCCGCCGGCUGCUGGACGCGCCCGUCGAGCCCUCCUCGCGCCGCCGGCCGCUGGACGCCCGCCGCCGCGGAUCUAAAGCUCCACCGUCGCCGGCCCCACGUCGCGGAUCUGAAGCUCCACCAUCGCCUUCGUCUCGCGCCCCUCCUGCUCCUUCGUCUCGCGCCCCUCCUCGCGCCGCCGGCCCCUCGUGCUCUUCUCCUCUUCAGGCAGGUCCGAGCCAAGUUGCUGCACCAGUUGAAUGUUCAAUGUAGGAGUACACCGCAAGUUCUAGCCCAGCGCAGCGACUUCUGGAGUCCUCCAGCCAGCGCACGUGCCGUGCACCAAAAAAUGGCCGAGGAGGGUAGGCACAUCGCCGCCGGUGACCCCAUCCGGCCGCCGCGGCUGGAGGAUGCGGGCCUGGAGGACUGCGCGCUCCCGCCGGAAUCCAUCGCCGAGGCUUUCUCCCUUGCGGCGUUGGCCGUCUCCUCCCGCCUCCCCCACCUCUCCCUCUCUGAGGACGAGGACGAGGGAGAUGACCCGCUUGCUCCUCGUGGAGGCUGCGUGGAGGACGCGGGAUCCACCCGUGGGGCCAUUCCCGACGCCCUUGUUGGCGCAGGGGGCGGCAGCGAGGGCGGCGCCGACGAGGUCGUGGUCGUCGGCGGCGGUGGCGGAGGAGGCAGCGACGAGGUGGUAGUCGUCGGGCGCGGAGACGAGGAAGAUAGGGUUGUUGUGGUCGGAGAAGAGCUGGGGCAGGAGAAGCGUUGCGGCAAGGGAACCAGAGAAGGAGAGCGCCGGAAGGAGGAGGAGGAGGAGAUGGUGGAGAAGGCCAUCUUGCUGGAAGAUUUCGCGUGA
Molecule: ribosomal RNA, 930 nt
Filed under: Triticum aestivum (bread wheat)
Lineage: Eukaryota; Viridiplantae; Streptophyta; Magnoliopsida; Poales; Poaceae
Description: partial small subunit ribosomal RNA
Source: RNAcentral